This is a non-coding RNA of Lepisosteus oculatus (spotted gar), 581 nucleotides long. NCBI's taxonomy places the organism in Eukaryota, Metazoa, Chordata, Actinopteri, Semionotiformes, Lepisosteidae. The record is from the annotation of a RefSeq genome assembly.
AUACAAGUGAGACAGUAACUCUUUCAAUGAGUUGGAACCAUGCUGCAGGGUCGAAGCAUUGCUAUUAUUUCCUUUUUUCUGGUGCCAGUUACAUCGUUUUCUCUGGAACAGGAUAAAAUAACCGUUACAAAAGGCUCUGGCAAAACUGCUCGCAUCAACUGCAAAUACAAAGACUCGGGCUUUGACUCUGCCGUUAUCCACUGGUACCAGAAAAAAGAAAACGAAGCGAUGAGACGGAUUCUUUAUAUCCAAAGCAUUGGUGGGACACCAACUUAUGACAAUGAUGAAGACAAAAAAGUAUUCAGAGUAAGCAAAAGCAGCAACUCUGAGAGUGAGCUUACUAUAGUUAAUGCACAGAGCAGCCAUUCUGCCACCUAUUACUGUGCCUGCUGGGAUACCCACAGUGAAAAAUGUGCCAUAGAUCGUCUGUACAAAAACUCCAGCCUGACUCUUAGAGGCAGUAUAUUAAAUCAAUUCCAGAAACAUCAAUAGUUGUUUUCCAGGAAAUGGCACCACAUGUACUGUAUGUGACACUACUUUUGCAGUUGAAAACAGCCAAUGCAAUCUACAUAUCUUUCCAU